UACGGAGGGUGCAAGCGUUAUCCGGAUUCACUGGGUUUAAAGGGUGCGUAGGUGGGUCUGUAAGUCAGUGGUGAAAUCUCCGGGCUUAACCCGGAAACUGCCAUUGAUACUAUAGGUCUUGAAUCUUCUGGAGGUUAGCGGAAUAUGUCAUGUAGCGGUGAAAUGCUUAGAUAUGACAUAGAACACCAAUUGCGAAGGCAGCUGGCUACAGGAGCAUUGACACUGAGGCACGAAAGCGUGGGGAUCAAACAGG
This 253-nucleotide ribosomal RNA is filed under the name uncultured bacterium. Its description in RNAcentral is "partial 16S ribosomal RNA". It matches the Rfam family "Bacterial small subunit ribosomal RNA", at positions 524 to 776 of the family's 1533-position model. The record is from RNAcentral.